Molecule: non-coding RNA, 72 nt
Organism: Myotis brandtii (Brandt's bat)
Lineage: Eukaryota; Metazoa; Chordata; Mammalia; Chiroptera; Vespertilionidae
Source: Rfam
GCUGGUGUGGCUCAGUGGAUAGAGCAUCUGCCUGCAGACUGAAGGGUCCCAGGUUUGAUUCCUGCACAUGCC